UACGUAGGGUGCAAGCGUUGUCCGGAAUUAUUGGGCGUAAAGAGCUCGUAGGCGGUCUGUCGCGUCUGCUGUGAAAACUCGGGGCUUAACCCCGGGCCUGCAGUGGGUACGGGCAAACUAGAGUGCGGUAGGGGGAGAUUGGAAUUCCUGGUGUAGCGGUGGAAUGCGCAGAUAUCAGGAGGAACACCGAUGGCGAAGGCAGAUCUCUGGGCCGUAACUGACGCUGAGGAGCGAAAGCGUGGGGAGCGAACAGG
This 254-nucleotide ribosomal RNA is filed under the name uncultured bacterium. Its description in RNAcentral is "partial 16S ribosomal RNA". It matches the Rfam family "Bacterial small subunit ribosomal RNA", at positions 524 to 776 of the family's 1533-position model. The record is from RNAcentral.